RNAcentral lists this unclassified non-coding RNA (349 nucleotides) under soil metagenome. Its description in RNAcentral is "partial contains 5.8S ribosomal RNA, internal transcribed spacer 2, and large subunit ribosomal RNA". The stretch from base 1 to 120 matches the Rfam family "5.8S ribosomal RNA", at positions 35 to 154 of the family's 154-position model. The record is from RNAcentral.
GAUGAAGAACGUAGCGAAAUGCGAUACGUAAUGUGAAUUGCAGAAUUCAGUGAAUCAUCGAGUCUUUGAACGCACAUUGCGCCCCCUGGUAUUCCGGGGGGCAUGCCUGUCCGAGCGUCAUUGCUGCCCUCAAGCACGGCUUGUGUGUUGGGCCUCCGCCCCCCGGCUCCCGGGGGGCGGGCCCGAAAGGCAGCGGCGGCACCGCGUCCGGUCCUCGAGCGUAUGUGGCUUCGUCACCCGCUCCGUAGGCCCGGCCGGUGCCCGCCGGCGACCCCCCUCAAUCUUUCCAGGUUGACCUCGGAUCAGGUAGGGAUACCCGCUGAACUUAAGCAUAUCAAUAAGCGGAGGA